This 543-nucleotide ribosomal RNA is filed under the name uncultured bacterium. Its description in RNAcentral is "bacterial SSU rRNA". It matches the Rfam family "Bacterial small subunit ribosomal RNA", at positions 777 to 1320 of the family's 1533-position model. The record is from RNAcentral.
AAUAGAUACCCUGGUAGUCCACCCGUAAACGUUGGGAACUAGUUGUGGGUCCUUUCCACGGAUUCCGUGACGCAGCUAACGCAUUAAGUUCCCCGCCUGGGGAGUACGGCCGCAAGGCUAAAACUCAAAGGAAUUGACGGGGACCCGCACAAGCGGCGGAGCAUGCGGAUUAAUUCGAUGCAACGCGAAGAACCUUACCAAGGCUUGACAUACACCAGAACACCCUAGAAAUAGGGGACUCUUUGGACACUGGUGAACAGGUGGUGCAUGGUUGUCGUCAGCUCGUGUCGUGAGAUGUUGGGUUAAGUCCCGCAACGAGCGCAACCCUCGUUCUAUGUUGCCAGCACGUAAUGGUGGGAACUCAUGGGAUACUGCCGGGGUCAACUCGGAGGAAGGUGGGGAUGACGUCAAAUCAUCAUGCCCCUUAUGUCUUGGGCUUCACGCAUGCUACAAUGGCCGGUACAAAGGGCUGCAAUACCGUGAGGUGGAGCGAAUCCCAAAAAGCCGGUCCCAGUUCGGAUUGAGGUCUGCAACUCGACCUCA